AACGCGAAGAACCUUACCUGGGUUUGACAUACACCAGAAGCCGGCAGAGAUGUCGGUUCCCUUGUGGCUGGUGUACAGGUGGUGCAUGGCUGUCGUCAGCUCGUGUCGUGAGAUGUUGGGUUAAGUCCCGCAACGAGCGCAACCCUUGUCCUGUAUUGCCAGCACGUAAUGGUGGGGACUUGCAGGAGACUGCCGGGGUCAACUCGGAGGAAGGUGGGGAUGACGUCAAGUCAUCAUGCCCCUUAUGUCCAGGGCUUCACACAUGCUACAAUGGCGGGUACAGAGGGCUGCGAGACCGUGAGGUGGAGCGAAUCCCUUAAAGCGGGUCUCAGUUCGGAUUGGGGUCUGCAACUCGACCCCAUGAAGUCGGAGUCGCUAGUAAUCGCAAAUCACCAACCCUCCGGUAAAUACUUUCCCGGGUCUUGUACACACCG
This 434-nucleotide ribosomal RNA is filed under the name uncultured bacterium. RNAcentral describes it as "bacterial SSU rRNA". It matches the Rfam family "Bacterial small subunit ribosomal RNA", at positions 958 to 1392 of the family's 1533-position model. The record is from RNAcentral.